This is a long non-coding RNA of Entelurus aequoreus (snake pipefish), 458 nucleotides long. RefSeq lists it as uncharacterized. NCBI's taxonomy places the organism in Eukaryota, Metazoa, Chordata, Actinopteri, Syngnathiformes, Syngnathidae. The record is from RefSeq and is a predicted model, not a curated record. The transcript is spliced from 4 exons.
GCGUCUACUUAUAAGACAUCCAUGGAUACAGGUGUGUGAAAAGGGGGCAGAAAGGAGCCUGAUUGGUUGAUUUACCCGGAUGUAAAGGAAACCAGGAAGCCCCGUGCAGAAGUAAUAGCAAAGACACGCAAACUGUGCCAAUAAAGACUACAAAGGAGGAAAUAAGAUUGUCACUGAAGGCAUCAAAACUAUGACACCUGUGAAGUGAGAACCCUGUCAGGAUUGCAAGAAACAGAAGAUGUUAUCCUCCAGUGCUGACAUAAGUGCAACUGAGUGGCCAGAAGUACGAGCCAUUAGCCGAUAAGGCCUGUGGAUUUUCGGGGCUGCGCCAUCAUUUAUUCCUGCAACUCCCCCCCCCCAACCCCUUUCCGGAUCAGGACCGUCCCCAGUGGGUGUCCUCAUUAUGUUUUAAUACAUCACCUGGAUAUGCCACGAUGUCAAAAUUCAAUAAAGUGCGA